UUUUUCAUAAAAUAUCAUGGCUACACCCUGGGGUGGGGGAAGAACCUUUCCGUGAUGUCCACCUAAACCCUACAGCUGUUACAGCUCCAGCCGUUCCCUUGGGUCCUGUCCCUGGUCACACAGAGCAGAGAUCAAGGCCUGCCCCUCCCCUUCCUCUUGUGAGGAAGCUGCAGAACUGCUGUGAGCUCUGACCUCAGUCUGCUCUUCUCCAGCUGAACAGACCAAGUGCCCUCAGCUGUUCCUUGUGCAGCUUUCUCUUUAGGCCCUUCACAUCUUCAUGUCCCUCCUUUGGAUGCUCUCGAACAGCUUUAGAUCUUUCUUACAUUGUGGCACCCAAAACCACACACAAUAUUUAAAGUGAAGCCAACCCAGCCCAGAGCAGAGUGGGACAAUCCCCUCACUGGCUCUGUCACCGAUGCUAGGACGGGAGAAAUGUGGGGAGCGCCUGUGUUAUCCCUGUGCUGCCUCAAGUGGAAGCUGGAGGCCAAUCCAGGAGAACCAAGGCCUCUCAGAACCAAUACUAAUGAUACUGCUUUCAUUAAAAAUUACCAUCAUAAAAUCAUAGAUUCAUAGAGUAUCCUGAGCUGGAAGGGACCCACAAGAAUCACUGAAGCUCUGCACAGGACAUUCUCAAGACUCACACAUCUUAAUUCUACUUCUCCAAAGAAAUUUAAAUAAUGGCUAAUGCAAUAAAAAUAUCAUAUGGAAUUGGUCGCAGA
Molecule: long non-coding RNA, 719 nt
Organism: Passer domesticus (house sparrow)
Lineage: Eukaryota; Metazoa; Chordata; Aves; Passeriformes; Passeridae
Exons: 3
Source: RefSeq, a predicted model, not a curated record